GACGAACGCUGGCGGCGUGCUUAACACAUGCAAGUCGAACGGCAAGGCCCUGCUUUUGUGGUGUGCUCGAGUGGCGAACGGGUGAGUAACACGUGAGUAACCUGCCCUUGACUUUGGGAUAACUUCAGGAAACUGGGGCUAAUACCGGAUAGGAGCUCCUGCUGCAUGGUGGGGGUUGGAAAGUUUCGGCGGUUGGGGAUGGACUCGCGGCUUAUCAGCUUGUUGGUGGGGUAGUGGCUUACCAAGGCUUUGACGGGUAGCCGGCCUGAGAGGGUGACCGGCCACAUGGGGACUGAGAGACGGCCCAGACGCCAACGGGAGGCAGCAGUGGGGAAUAUUGCACAAUGGGCGGAAGCCUGAUGCAGCAACGCCGGGUGCGGGAUGACGGCCUUCGGGUUGUAAACCGCUUUCGCCUGUGACGAAGCGUGAGUGACGGUAAUGGGUAAAGAAGCACCGGCUAACUACGUG
Molecule: ribosomal RNA, 468 nt
Filed under: uncultured bacterium
Lineage: Bacteria
Description: partial 16S ribosomal RNA
Rfam family: Bacterial small subunit ribosomal RNA
Source: RNAcentral